RNAcentral lists this ribosomal RNA (524 nucleotides) under uncultured Glomus. RNAcentral describes it as "SSU rRNA". It matches the Rfam family "Eukaryotic small subunit ribosomal RNA", at positions 560 to 1084 of the family's 1831-position model. The record is from RNAcentral. Lineage: Eukaryota; Fungi; Glomeromycota; Glomeromycetes; Glomerales; Glomeraceae.
UCUGGUGCCAGCAGCCGCGGUAAUUCCAGCUCCAAAUAGCGUAUAUUAAAAGUUGUUGCAGUUAAAAAGCUCGUAGUUGAAUUUCGGGGUCAGUAAGUUGGUCGUGCCACUGGUAUGUACUGGCUUACUGGUUCCUCCUUCUUGAAGAACUGUGAUGUCAUUUAUUUGGUGUUGCAGGGAAACAGGACUGUUACUUUGAAAAAAUUAGAGUGUUUAAAGCAGGCUAACGCUUGAAUACAUUAGCAUGGAAUAAUGAAAUAGGACGUUUGACCCUAUUUUGUUGGUUUCUAGGAUCGACGUAAUGAUUAAUAGGGAUAGUUGGGGGCAUUAGUAUUCAAUUGUCAGAGGUGAAAUUCUUGGAUUUAUUGAAGACUAACUACUGCGAAAGCAUUUGCCAAGGAUGUUUUCAUUAAUCAAGAACGAAAGUUAGGGGAUCGAAGACGAUCAGAUACCGUCGUAGUCUUAACCAUAAACUAUGCCGACUAGGGAUCGGAUGAUGUUAAUUUUUUAAUGACUCAUUCCGC